Molecule: ribosomal RNA, 497 nt
Filed under: uncultured bacterium
Lineage: Bacteria
Description: partial 16S ribosomal RNA
Rfam family: Bacterial small subunit ribosomal RNA
Source: RNAcentral
GAUGAACGCUGGCGGCGUGCCUAAUACAUGCAAGUCGAGCGAACGGACGAGAAGCUUGCUUCUCUGAUGUUAGCGGCGGACGGGUGAGUAACACGUGGAUAACCUACCUAUAAGACUGGGAUAACUUCGGGAAACCGGAGCUAAUACCGGAUAGUAUUUUGAACCGCAUGGUUCAAAAGUGAAAGACGGUCUUGCUGUCACUUAUAGAUGGAUCCGCGCUGCAUUAGCUAGUUGGUAAGGUAACGGCUUACCAAGGCAACGAUGCAUAGCCGACCUGAGAGGGUGAUCGGCCACACUGGAACUGAGACACGGUCCAGACUCCUACGGGAGGCGGCAGUAGGGAAUCUUCCGCAAUGGGCGAAAGCCUGACGGAGCAACGCCGCGUGAGUGAUGAAGGUCUUCGGAUCGUAAAACUCUGUUAUUAGGGAAGAACAUAUGUGUAAGUAACUGUGCACAUCUUGACGGUACCUAAUCAGAAAGCCACGGCUAACUACGUG